UGUUCUGUGGCUUAGUUGGUUAAAGCACUGGUCUAGCGAAUACGGGGUCGUGUGUUCAAAUCCCACCAGAACGC
Molecule: non-coding RNA, 74 nt
Organism: Aedes albopictus (Asian tiger mosquito)
Lineage: Eukaryota; Metazoa; Arthropoda; Insecta; Diptera; Culicidae
Source: Rfam